Molecule: long non-coding RNA, 412 nt
Filed under: Hordeum vulgare
Lineage: Eukaryota; Viridiplantae; Streptophyta; Magnoliopsida; Poales; Poaceae
Description: long non-coding RNA (HVUL_LNC017321)
Source: RNAcentral
GGGAAAGAAACAAAGACUUGGUCCCAUCAAAACCUAGUUGCAAGAACCGUUGUGUUGCACCAACGGUGCCUUUUCUACACAUAUAUCCAAUGGAGUUAGCAAAAAUUGUGUUGCAGCAAAGGUUUGCCAUCACGGGUUUUCUAUGACUUCUGGUCCAGCUUCAAUGUCUCCGCCAACGGAGUUCCGGCCGAGGAGGGUGUUAGCAAAACUUAUACAUUACUCAUGUUGUAACGACCGGCUGUUAGAUUUCACAGGCCUGCGUGCCUAUUUUGUAGGGCGUUGUGGAUAUCUCCAAUGUAUAUAACCUGUACCACGAUGACGCCGUCGCAGCACCGGCUAGCAACACGGUGGCGCCGUCGUAGCACCGUCUCGAAACAUGGUGGCGCCGUCGCAGCAAGGCGGCGCCCUCGCA